RNAcentral lists this ribosomal RNA (225 nucleotides) under uncultured bacterium. Its description in RNAcentral is "partial 16S ribosomal RNA". It matches the Rfam family "Bacterial small subunit ribosomal RNA", at positions 32 to 252 of the family's 1533-position model. The record is from RNAcentral.
AAUCAACGCUGGCGGCGUGCCUCAGACAUGCAAGUCGAACGAUUAAAGCUCUCUUCGGAGAGUGUAUAGAGUGGCGCACGGGUGAGUAACACGUAAGUAAUCUACCUUCGAGUGGGAAUAACCCGGGAACCGAGCUAAUACCGCAUAAUGCAGCGGCAUCUAAUGAUGACAGUUGUUAAAGAUUUUAUCGCUUGAAGAGGAGCUUGCGGCAGAUUAGCUAGUUGG